This 253-nucleotide ribosomal RNA is filed under the name uncultured bacterium. RNAcentral's name for it is "partial 16S ribosomal RNA". It matches the Rfam family "Bacterial small subunit ribosomal RNA", at positions 524 to 776 of the family's 1533-position model. The record is from RNAcentral.
UACGGGGGGGGUAAGCGUUGUUCGGAAUUACUGGGCGUAAAGGGCUCGUAGGCGGCCAACUAAGUCAUACGUGAAAUCCCAAGGCUUAACCUUGGAACUGCGUCGGAUACUGGAUGGCUUGAAUUCGGGAGAGGGAUGCAGAAUUCCAGGUGUAGCGGUGAAAUGCGUAGAUAUCUGGAGGAAUACCGGUGGCGAAGGCGGCAUCCUGGACCGACAUUGACGUUGAUGAGCGAAAGCUAGGGGAGCAAACGGG